This 449-nucleotide long non-coding RNA is filed under the name Androctonus crassicauda. Lineage: Eukaryota; Metazoa; Arthropoda; Arachnida; Scorpiones; Buthidae. The record is from RNAcentral.
GGAUCAUCAGCAUGUUUGCCUUGGAUUCACAAACAUUUAACACAUUAGGCCGAGAGCAAACUAAGCAACGGUGUUGCUUGCAAUCUGAUGUUGUUUGUGACAGCCCAAGUUGAAGGCAACGACUGGGCAGAAUUUGCUAGUGAGGUCAAGUUUUUGCAGCCAAUCGGCAUCUAACUGGUUUUGAAGUGUAUGAGAUUUAAAAUGGCGGCAGAGUAUAGUACAGAUGAGCUUUUUACUUAUGGCUUCAGCUUCAAUAAUGUCUGCUAUCGUUAGUGAUGACGCUAAAAAUCGAAAAAAAGGAAGAGGCCCAGAUAGGAGUUGGAUGCGGCGUAGAGAAGAACGUGGGGUAAUGAACUCAUUAGUUCAAGAAUUGCGUCUCGAAGACACCUCCUCAUAUAGAAAUUGGAUGAGGAUGAAUGAAGAAUGUUUCCGAAGUCUCUUGAGACUAG